Rhodamnia argentea is the source of this 857-nucleotide long non-coding RNA. RefSeq lists it as uncharacterized. The record is from RefSeq and is a predicted model, not a curated record. Lineage: Eukaryota; Viridiplantae; Streptophyta; Magnoliopsida; Myrtales; Myrtaceae. The transcript has 3 exons.
GUCACCUCCCUCUCUUAUUGCUCUCAUGACCAGAAGAACUCAAAUUAUGAUGAAUUCUUUUGCCUGCCUAUAUUUAUACAGCAGCACGCUUUACUUCCUCAAACCCUCUUGAGUACGGCACGAAACUUCCCAAACCCACCAUGUAGUGCUCCAUUGGCUCUCUCCAUAGCCAACCCCCCCUUGAAUAUGGAGUCGUUCAGGGGGUGGCUUUGGCUUCUAUCUUAGUGUUGUUGCAGAUGUUUCUGUUGCUGACUAUGUUGUGUGGUGUGGGUGUGUGUGACCUUGUGUAUGUGCGCUGGAUCCUUAGGUCAGGGGAAAAAAAAAUUGGGAGCUGCUCGUUUUGAUCUGAUGAGAGGAAGUUUUAUGGGAUCUCCCAAGAUAGGGCAACCUUGCAUCCUUUGGCAUUUCCGGGUUCUUAUCGGAACCCUUGUUUCCGUGUCUUUCGGGCGAUUUCUCUCUGCAGAGGGAAGAAGCUACCAUGGGGAGCCGAGUUCGACAGCCCACAUUUGUUGCUUUUCUGGCUUCUUCGUGUUUGCUUCGAAGUGAAUAAGAAGAAUUGCCUGGAGUUAGCAUUUUGGUCAUGUAUUUGCAGGCUUUUCUGGGUAGGGUUGGUGAUGUUUUUAUCAUGAAUAAUGGCUGGAUUUGGUAUUGAAUUCGAGCUUGUGAUAAUGAUUGUCGUGUUUUAAAAAUUGUCGAAACUGAUGAAGAAAUUAGAAACUAUCUCAUACUUUUGCUGCAUCUGUAUGAUUCCAUGAGUUCCUCUCUGGUCAUAGUUUGCAACUUUGUUUUUUUUUAUUUUAUUUUGCAAAGUACAUAGAUGUUUAGGAUCAUGCUGGCCCGUAAUUUGUGCAUUUUCU